GACGAACGCUGGCGGCGUGCUUAACACAUGCAAGUCGAACGGCAAGGCCCUGCUUUUGUGGGGUGCUCGAGUGGCGAACGGGUGAGUAACACGUGAGUAACCUGCCCUUGACUUUGGGAUAACUUCAGGAAACUGGGGCUAAUACCGGAUAGGAGCUCCUGCUGCAUGGUGGGGGUUGGAAAGUUUCGGCGGUUGGGGAUGGACUGGCGGCUUAUCAGCUUGUUGGUGGGGUAGUGGCUUACCAAGGCUUUGACGGGUAGCCGGCCUGAGAGGGUGACCGGGGACAUUGGGACUGAGAGACGGACCAGACUCCUACGGGAGGCAGCAGUGGGGAAUAUUGCACAAUGGGCGGAAGCCUGAGGCAGCAACGCCGCGUGCGGGAUGACGGCCUGCGGGUUGUGAACCGCUUUAGCCUGUGACGAAGCGUGAGUGACGGUAAUGGGUAAAGAAGCACCGGCUAACUACGUG
Molecule: ribosomal RNA, 468 nt
Filed under: uncultured bacterium
Lineage: Bacteria
Description: partial 16S ribosomal RNA
Rfam family: Bacterial small subunit ribosomal RNA
Source: RNAcentral